UGGGGAAUCUUGGACAAUGGGCGCAAGCCUGAUCCAGCCAUGCCGCGUGAGUGAAGAAGGCCUUAGGGUUGUAAAACUCUUUCGCCGGAGAAGAUAAUGACGGUAUCCGGAGAAGAAGCCCCGGCUAACUUCGUGCCAGCAGCCGCGGUAAUACGAAGGGGGCUAGCGUUGUUCGGAAUUACUGGGCGUAAAGCGUACGCAGGCGGCUUUGCAAGACAGGUGUGAAAUCCCCGGGCCUAACCUGGGAACUGCAUUUGUGACUGCAUGGCUAGAGUCUGUCAGAGGGGGGUGGAAUUCCACGUGUAGCAGUGAAACGCGUAGAGAUGUGGAAGAACACCGAUGGCGAAGGCAGCCCCCUGGGAUAAGACUGACGCUCAUGUACGAAAGCGUGGGGAGCAAACAGGAUUAGAUACCCUGGUAGUCCACGCCCUAAACGAUGUCUACUAGUUGUCGGAGGGUAACUCCUUCGGUAACGCAGCUAACGCGUGAAGUAGACCGCCU
Molecule: ribosomal RNA, 501 nt
Filed under: uncultured Pseudomonadota bacterium
Lineage: Bacteria; Pseudomonadati; Pseudomonadota
Description: bacterial SSU rRNA
Rfam family: Bacterial small subunit ribosomal RNA
Source: RNAcentral